CGUCAAAUCAUCAUGCCCUUUAUGGCCUGGGCCACACACGUGCUACAAUGGCCGGUACAGCGGGGUGCGAAGGCGCGAGCCGGAGCGAAUCCCUAAAAGCCGGUCUCAGUUCGGAUUGCAGGCUGCAACUCGCCUGCAUGAAGGCGGAAUCGCUAGUAAUCGCGGAUCAGCAUGCCGCGGUGAAUACGUUCCCGGGCCUU
Molecule: ribosomal RNA, 200 nt
Filed under: uncultured organism
Description: partial small subunit ribosomal RNA
Rfam family: Bacterial small subunit ribosomal RNA
Source: RNAcentral